RNAcentral lists this long non-coding RNA (1647 nucleotides) under Phoenix dactylifera (date palm). Its description in RNAcentral is "long non-coding RNA (PDAC_LNC014155)". Lineage: Eukaryota; Viridiplantae; Streptophyta; Magnoliopsida; Arecales; Arecaceae. The record is from RNAcentral.
UUAGCAUACCCAAUAGAAGAAUCUAUCAGAGAGUAACGAAGUCAUAUCAUGAUUAUCCUAAGAAUCAACAACAUUCUUCCCCACUAGAAAAUUAACUCAAGUCUUCCAAUAAUUCUACUUAUCAAUACAACUUUAUCAUUAGAUCUUAUCAAAGGAAUAAGGUCCGAUACUUUCAGAUUUGAUUCUUUUGAUAGGUGAUUUAAAUCAAACUUUUCUUUUAUAAUCAAAAAUCAACGUCUUAAUUCUGAAUAAGAACAUCAAGUUUCUUUGUCAAAAUAUCAAUUUCUCUCAAUUAACCGAUCUAUCACAAGAUUAGAUCAUAAACGACUCUAAUCCACCCUUGAUAGAUAUUCAUUAAAGCCAAUUGACAACCUCAAUUUCUUUUAAUCAGAUAGAGGGUUGAUAUUAUUGAAAAAAAAAAAAUCAAGCUUCAGAUUUAGAAGAAAGGAGGUCUAUACCAACAUAUUCCAGAUCUAAGAUCAAAAUAAGUGAUCCAUUAAUUCUAGCCAAAAGAUGCUAAGAAUUUCUUAGCACGACAUAAAAUUGGAGAACCUAAGAUAGCAUAGCGACAUCCAAAAAAAAUCAAAACAUUUUCCUUUCAUUUAUCUAGAAAGUCCUACUACAUAAGAAAAUGGAUCAAAUCUUUAUUAUUAAAACUUUUCGAAUCAAAGGGAUAAUACUUCUAACCAACUUAGAUAAAUAUUUCAAACCACUAUGUUUUCGCUGUGCACUCUGAUUUAAAACAUCAAAAUUCUUUGGAUUCACUAAUAACUUUUACUACUUGUCUAUAAAUAGAACUAUUUAAUACCUCAUUUCUCUGCCUUUUGCAUAUCAUUUUGAUGAACUUGUUUCUCUUGUUUGAUUUCUUCCUUGUUAAUAGCAGAAACCCCCUUUUUUUUUUGUCAAAACAUCAACUAAUAUUCAUUUAAUGGAUUUAUUGCAGGAUCAUAAACCACUGCACUUUAUCCAUAGUAGAACAUUUGAGCCUCAAAUAUUUUUCAAGAUUGAUAAUUAUUAUCAAAAUUUACUAAAUGACUGUCAAUCAAAAUACCAAUUCACAUUGUAAUUGGAAAACAUCUAAUAUUUCAUAUUCCAAGUAAACAAAGGAAAAACUCUUAAGUCUCAUCCUCAAAUAUAUUUUCUUUCUAUAUAACAAUUUCAUGCAUAAUUGUCAUACAUAUUUCAUCCUCGAAGAAUAUAAAAUCUUUUCUUGUCCAAGCCUUAAACAACUUAUGAAUGAACCCUAUCUUGCCAUCAAAAUAAUUAACUUCAAACUAGAAGUAUUAUUUACAGUACCCGAUAUCAAGUUGAUCUUUCAAAAUCACUUAUAUACUAAUACACAAACAAUCACAAUGUAUUUUAAUAUUCCAUGGCUAGUACUCCACUUAAUAUUAGUCAAAAUCUAAUUUAAUCAUUACUUAAAAAUUUGCUACUUUCUAUCACAAUCACUAGUGAUCUUAAACUUUUAGCUUUCAUACAAUCCUGUCACAUUCCCUAUUGCUCUUAAACCUUUAUUCUAAUUCAAAUUUUAUUACAAUCCUCAAUGAUCUUAAACCUCCAACUUUGAAGCCACUUGUGCCACAGUCCUUAGUAGUCUUAAACCUUAAGCUCUUGUAUCAUUCAUAUCGCAAUCCUAAGUGAUCUUAA